AGUGAACGCUGGCGGUAGGCCUAACACAUGCAAGUCGAACGGCAGCACAGUAAGAGCUUGCUCUUACGGGUGGCGAGUGGCGGACGGGUGAGGAAUACAGCGGAAUCUACUUUUUCGUGGGGGAUAACGUAGGGAAACUUACGCUAAUACCGCAUACGACCUACGGGUGAAAGCAGGGGAUCUUCGGACCUUGCGCGAUUGAAUGAGCCGAUGUCGGAUUAGCUAGUUGGCGGGGUAAAGGCCCACCAAGGCGACGAUCCGUAGCUGGUCUGAGAGGAUGAUCAGCAACACUGGAACUGAGACACGGUCCAGACUCCUACGGGAGGCAGCAGUGGGGAAUAUUGGACAAAGGGCGCAAGCCUGAUCCAGCCAUACCGCGUGGGUGAAGAAGGCCUUCGGGUUGUAAAGCCCUUUUGUUGGGAAAGAAAAGCAGCAGGUUAAUACCCCGCUGUUCUGACGGUACCCAAAGAAUAAGCACCGGCUAACUUCGUG
RNAcentral lists this ribosomal RNA (492 nucleotides) under uncultured bacterium. RNAcentral describes it as "partial 16S ribosomal RNA". It matches the Rfam family "Bacterial small subunit ribosomal RNA", at positions 29 to 507 of the family's 1533-position model. The record is from RNAcentral.